RNAcentral lists this ribosomal RNA (250 nucleotides) under uncultured bacterium. RNAcentral's name for it is "partial 16S ribosomal RNA". It matches the Rfam family "Bacterial small subunit ribosomal RNA", at positions 524 to 773 of the family's 1533-position model. The record is from RNAcentral.
UACAGAGGGUGCAAGCGUUAAUCGGAAUUACUGGGCGUAAAGCGUGCGUAGGUGGUCUGUUAAGUCAGGUGUGAAAUCCUUGGGCUCAACCUGAGAAUUGCAUUUGAUACUGGCGGACUAGAGUGUGGUAGAGGGUAGUGGAACUCCCGGUGUAGCGGUGAAAUGCGUAGAUAUCGGGAAGAACACCAGUGGCGAAGGCGGCUACCUGGACCAACACUGACACUGAGGUACGAAAGCGUGGGGAGCAAAC